CCUGUGGCUUUGUGGCCAGAAGCACUCCUGGAUUUAUCAGCAUAGAAGAGAUGAACCCAGGUAACCAGCCAGGUGGCUUCUUGAGAUGAUAAAUUGGAGGAAGAUCAGGAGGUAGCAACACCACAACCACUUCUCACCUGGCUGACCAUAAGCUUCAUUCUACUGUGUGAUCUUAAGAUGAAGGCAGAAAC
RNAcentral lists this long non-coding RNA (191 nucleotides) under Meleagris gallopavo (turkey). RNAcentral's name for it is "lncRNA (ENSMGAG00000021303.1)". The record is from RNAcentral. Lineage: Eukaryota; Metazoa; Chordata; Aves; Galliformes; Phasianidae.